UUGCUUGCUUUGGCAGCAUAUAUACUAAAAUUGGAGUGGAGAUUAGCAUGGCCCCCCGUGCAAGGGGCCACACAAAUAUGUGAAAUGUUCCGUAUUUUU
Molecule: small nuclear RNA, 99 nt
Organism: Dipodomys ordii (Ord's kangaroo rat)
Lineage: Eukaryota; Metazoa; Chordata; Mammalia; Rodentia; Heteromyidae
Source: Ensembl